UGGUCGCGUCGCGUCACGUGGGCUGGUUUAUUUAUAUUUUGGUUGUUUCACAUGGCAUUUACACGCAUACUUCGUUCGCCUCAGUACUCGGUCGGAGUUCGUACUGGUUCCUGGUUAUCCCACGCAAAACAAGUGCAGUACCUGCGGCGCUCGUCUUACGUGCACUAUGGAGGGGGACACGUUUGCAAGGACGCGUCACUGUGACGCAUCGCGAGUGGAGACGCGCGUUCGCGCCUACGCUCGAACACCAGCGAUGGGAAACCGUGGCACGGUGUCACCUGUCAAGUUGCCCAGCUGAUUUCAAGUGUUUUAGCCACCGGGCAUGUUUUGCCGUUUCAGCGCCAUCCUCGGAUUUCUCUUGAGCGACCUGUGCGAGGAUGUACGAGAUCGAGCAAUAGCAUCCACAUGAAGCCUGUGCGUUUCCAAACCUUUCACCACACAUAGUUUUAGCUCUCAGAACACCUGCACAUCAAAAGCAAGAAAUGUUGAGGUGGAUUCCACAGACACAGACGCAGUGCCGAGGAACAGGAUUUCGGGAUGAGAGGGCUUGCCUGCAAGAGAGAGGCAACAUCUCAAUCUUGCAUCACAAGAUGCAAACGCAAACACAGGAUGGUUGAUCACUAAUCAUCAUGAUCACUUUGACAGGAAGAGUUGGCUCACUCUGACAAGGAACAUCUUAAAUAUAAUAAUAAUUAAAGGAAAACUAAAGAGAAGCACUAAAUCCGCUUACAGUGAUAGGGUUUUUUUUUUCUUUUUGCAAAACAACAUUUUCGUUAUAUUUCAUAGUAAUAGGUUGAUUUUAGCAGUAAAAAUUAAGAUCAAAAAGUCCUCCCCCCCCCCCCUUUUUUUUGUAGUAGCUCAGUAAAAGUUCUUGACAUUUGCUAAGUUCAGUCUUUGGCACUUCUAGAACACAACAGAGUCCAUCUUAACUGAUAAAAAAUUACCAAAGCCCAAGAAGACGCCUUCAAACUUUAUGAUGUGACGGUAAGCCAGUGCGGAAACUUCAAAAAGAUGUUGCUACCCAUCUCUCGUUUAAGCGUACUUUCUGGCUUACGAAUCUUCUUGUCACGAUAAUACUGGCUUUUUUUCUGGCAUUGUAGAAGGGUACAACUUACUAAUACAGCUCAAAUUAUUUUUCUCUUUAGUGUCCCUUUAACACAGCUCAACUAACAGUGAUCGCUAACAGCAGAGGCUAAUUUCAAUCAACAUGUCAGUAAGACUGCCACAAAAGCAUUUGCAAUGUCCACAGAACCUACGCUGAUUUGCAAAACAGGCUGUACCAGAAGUGCAACAAACAUUUCUGAAAACCUAAACUUGAGAUACAAAAGGUAGCAAAUGACAUACCGUAUUUGCUCGCGCAACACUCGCAACCCCCCCUUGGCCUAAAAAAUUAGCUUUUUCUUUCUCCUCGAGCAGACAUUGCAACCUCGAAAAUUGCUGGAGCAACUGUCGUCUGCUUGUCCCGACCGGUGGUGAUGACUGCACAGUGGCAACCUUUGACCUUUAGCAAUUACUUUAGCAAAUAAAUGACCUUUGCAGUUCCUA
Long non-coding RNA from Dermacentor silvarum, 1545 nucleotides. RefSeq lists it as uncharacterized. The record is from RefSeq and is a predicted model, not a curated record. The transcript is spliced from 3 exons. Lineage: Eukaryota; Metazoa; Arthropoda; Arachnida; Ixodida; Ixodidae.